UUUUCUCUCCCAAUUACAUUUUUAUCGCACAUUCUUCUCAAUCUCGCAUCUCUUAUGUUGUUUUUUCCAUCUUCUCUAAUCUCUCAUCUCAUAUGUUUUUUUUAAUGUUUUAUUAUAAUGUCUGUGAUAUUAUUUUAUGCUACUAUUUUAUAUAUGUUUUUCAUUUCAUUUUUUUUCUAAUCUAAUUUUUUGUAUAUUGAAUGAGAAUUUUUUGUCUAAAUAUGAUGAGUUUUGAUGUUAUUUAGUAAU
Molecule: long non-coding RNA, 249 nt
Filed under: Lathyrus oleraceus (garden pea)
Lineage: Eukaryota; Viridiplantae; Streptophyta; Magnoliopsida; Fabales; Fabaceae
Description: Pisum sativum (pea) long non-coding RNA (PSAT_LNC025623)
Source: RNAcentral